GACAGAGGGUGCAAACGUUGCUCGGAAUUACUGGGCGUAAAGCGCGUGUAGGCGGACCGGAAAGUCGGGCGUGAAAUCCCUGGGCUCAACCCAGGAACUGCACUCGAAACUUCCGGCCUUGAGUGGUGGAGAGGGUAGUGGAAUUCCUGGUGUAGAGGUGAAAUUCGUAGAUAUCAGGAGGAGCACCGGUGGCGAAGGCGGCUACCUGGACACCAACUGACGCUGAGACGCGAAAGCGUGGGGAGCAAACAGG
RNAcentral lists this ribosomal RNA (253 nucleotides) under uncultured bacterium. RNAcentral describes it as "partial 16S ribosomal RNA". It matches the Rfam family "Bacterial small subunit ribosomal RNA", at positions 524 to 776 of the family's 1533-position model. The record is from RNAcentral.